CCUGCCCCUAGAGGCAUUGCCGCUGAGUCACACGUGUGUCAGUAUGUGGCAGAGAGGAGAGAGGCUAUGUCUAUGCUUGGAGUUCUGACCUAUGAACAUCUGAAUAAUUAACAGCCUAACAUG
Molecule: small nucleolar RNA, 123 nt
Organism: Rattus norvegicus (Norway rat)
Lineage: Eukaryota; Metazoa; Chordata; Mammalia; Rodentia; Muridae
Product: small nucleolar RNA SNORA17
Source: Ensembl